Molecule: long non-coding RNA, 4435 nt
Organism: Callithrix jacchus (white-tufted-ear marmoset)
Lineage: Eukaryota; Metazoa; Chordata; Mammalia; Primates; Cebidae
Source: RefSeq, a predicted model, not a curated record
UAAUGGUAUGUAACUUCUGAGGUUAGGUUAUAAAAGACAUUGGGGCCUCAAUCUUGGUGUUCUCUCUCUCUGCCUAGUGUCUCACUCUGGAGGAAGCCAGAUACCUUGCUGUGAGCAACCCUGUGGAGGAGAGGCCUACAUCAUGGGACACUGAAGGCUCCCGCAAACAGCCAUGGGAGUGAGCUCAGGAAUAGACUCUUCAGCCGCAGUCAAGCCGUCAGAUAACUGCAGCACUGCAUGUAAGCUUGACCACAACCUAAUGAGAGAUCCUAAUCCAGAGCCAUCCAGGAGUAAAGAAAGAAUACUCUGAUCUACCUUCCCACAGCCCCCAGUCAUUGAGGAUAAAGUCAUGGGAUCUCACUCUGACUGUGAGGCUGGAGUGCAGUGGUAUGAUUUCAAUCUCCUGGGGCCAAGCGUACUCCCACCUCAGCCUCCCAAGUAGUUGGGACUACAGGUCUGUGUUCUUAUGCUGUCCUUGUAUAGAGAUGACCUCCAGAGAAGAAAGAUCCCAGAUUCAGCUAGCAGAGGGAAGAAGCAGUUGGAUGUCGGGAAGAAGUGCCUGGACAUAGAAGAGAGGUGGUUUGACUUCAGGUGAGAGUGAUUUUCCAUUUUUGUCCCCUUUCCAGCUCCCCUCUCCAAUGAGAACCUAUGAGGAUUAUUCCUCCUGCUCUCCUCUUCGUGGUAAUGAGAUUGUCUUAAAAUUAGGUAGUUAAUAAUAGCUAACUUUACUAUGUCCUAAGAUUCAAUAAAAUAUUCUUGGCUGGGCAUGGUGGCUCACGCCUGUAAUCCUAGUACUUUGGGAGGCUGAGGAGGGUGGAUUGCCUGAGCUCAGGAGUUUGAGACCAGCCUGCACAAAAUGGUGAAACCCCAUCUCUACUAAAAAUACAAAAAUUUAGUCAGAUGUGGUGGCGUGUGCCUGUAAUCCCAGCUACUCAGGAGGCUGAGACAGAAGAAUUGCUUGAACCCGGGCACCAGCAGGUGGAGGUUGCAGUGAGCCGAGAUCAUACCAUUGCACUCCAGCCUGGGUGACAGAGUGGGACUCCAUCUCCGAAAAAAAAGAUUCUCCACAUUUACUAUCAAUUCAUCUGGGCACUCAUUCCUCUUGGGCACUGGACAAGAACUAGGGACACACUACUGCAGGUACCCAAAAAGGCUAUUGCCCUUGCUGGAAGAAGGCAGCUGCCCCAUGUGAUGAGGCAAAGGGCUCACUGAGCUGAUAACACACUGCUGUCUGUGGACCGUGGAGCUAAGAGAGUAUGGUAACAUGCUCUCUGUGACCCUGGGAUGGCAGGCACCCACAUCUGGACAUUGCCCUGGGGCCCACAUGGAGUUUGUUCCUGCUGGUGCCAAAGUAGCCAGUUCCUACACUCACUUGCUCCAGUUCCUGCACUCAUUCGCUUGCAUGCUCCCUCCUGUGAGGGGUUGAGCAGGGCAGCUGAGUAAACAUGGCACCCCUGUCUUGAGUUCCAUGAAGGGGUCAAGAAAAUAUCUUGCAUCAAAAUCAGCUGUGGUGGGAGGAACAAUCACACCAUGAAAAUCAUCAAGUGUCACCCACCUUUCCCUUUUUCAGAGAACGGCUUAUUCAUUUACCAGAACAUGACUGGAUAGUUCUAAGAAAUAAUUUAAAAGAAAAAAUAGAUAAAAGCUAAUGGCAAAUUAGAUAUUAUAGGAAUAUGAGGAAAAGUCUUGAGUUAUCAUAUUUUUAAUUUGAACAACUGAGUAAAUGGUGAUAUUAAUUACCAAGGUGAAGGAUUAUAGGAGGAAAGUUUGGUUUUAGAAGAAAAAUAAUGAAUUAGUUUUGAGCUUGUUGAAUUUGAGUAGAGAUACUCUGUGGAUACUUGGGUGAAUAGGUCAAGAGGUAAGAGCAUGGAGUUUGGGGUUAAAGAUGUAGUUUGGAUGCUGUAGCACAAGCAGUUAUUCAACCAGCUGAGCAGAGAGCUGGAGCCAGAACCCUGGGGAGUGAAGAUCAUUAGGCACCAUCAGAAGAUGGGAAGAGUUAAAGACACAAACAAUGAGAGAAAGAAGAGUCACAUGAGAAAAAGGAAGUGUUCAGUAUCACAGAGAGUUCAAAGCAAACAAGGUCAGGAAAUUAUCCAUCGCCUCUGGAAGUGCGGUGGUUGUUGGAGAGCUCAGAGAGAGCAGUUUUGUUGCAGUGGUGUCGGUGGAUGCCAGCCUGUAGUGAUUGGAGAGUGAACAAGCAGUGAUGAAGCGAAGACAGUGAGUGCAGACCACUCUAAAAUCAUUUUAAAAAUGAUUGGCUGUGCAAAGGAGGAGAGUAAGGUGGUGGCUUAAAGGGAAUGUGCAGUCACAGGAAAUUUUUAUUUGUAUUUUGGAUGUGAUCAUUCAGAUUUCUUUUCUUUCUUUUCUCUACCACCCCCCACCUUUUUUUUUUUUUUAAACAGAGUCUCACUCUGUUGUCCAGGCUGGAGAGCAUUGGUGUGAUCUUAGCUCACUGCAACCUCCGCCUUCUGAGUUCAAGCGAUUCUCCUAUCUCAGCCUCCUGAGUAGCUGGGAUUAUAGGCAUGCACCAACACACCCAGUAUUUUUUGUAUUUUUGUAGAGAUGGGGUUUCACCAUGUUGGCCAGGCUGGUCUCAAACCCCUGACCUCAAGUGAUCCACCUGCUUCAGCCUCCCAAAAGUACUGAGAUUACAGGCAUGAGCCACCAUGCCCAGCACCAGAUUUCCCUUCUAUGUUGAAGGGAAAAGACAAGUAAAUAAGGAAAAAUUGAGGAUAAAGGGAAAGAGAAGAAAUAUGGCAAGUAUUGAUGACCCCCAGUAAACCACAACCUCUGGGCUUCAUUUUCAUGUGACGUGGGCCUUAAUCUUGUGAUUUGCUUUGACCAAUGUGAAAUUAGCAAGCAUGUGCCAGCAGAAACUUGGUAAGCGUUUUUGCACAUUGCAGUUUGUCCUCUCGGUGGAAGCUAUCAGCUGCACUGUACAAAAGCUUGAACCAGACUACUGAAUAAUGAGGGACUGUGUGGACAGAACCUUGCAGGAUAACAGACCCUCCUGGGUGAUUCAGCCCCAGAUGUGCUCCUAACUCACUGAAGCCAAAUGAAUAAUUUCGAUAGAAUCAGCAGAAGAAUCACACAGUCGAGCCCAAUCCAGAUAGCAGAAUUAUGAGCAAAUAAAGAGAUGUGAUUUUAAGCCAUUUAAUGUGCGGGCAUACUGUUUUACAGCAACUGAUAACCAAAACAGGGAAAACAGACCAGUUGCCAAAUCUAUUAGCAAGACAACAUUUCAUAAAAAUUAAAGGCAUAGGUUCUGAAGCAGCACGUCAUUGGCUUUAAUACUUAAUUGCAUAAUUGAGAAAAUUAUGUAGCCUUUGGGGACUUCAGUUCAUUGUCUGUAAAAUGGUAUGAAGAUUAACUGAGAUGAUACCAUCUUAGUAAGCUCUGGAUACAUAUUUACUGGUCUACUAUUAAAGCACAUGCAAAAGGUUUAACUCCAAAGAGGAGAGACUCGUUAUUCUUUAACACAAAAGGGAGGAAAGUUUAACUGUAAGGAUGUCUUGAGGCAGGGUUCCAAGGAAUAAUAACUUAUUAAGAUGGAUUUAGUUAUACCUUCCUUAUAUUUUUUUAGCAUUUCACAGAUUAUAAAGUGUUUUCCUAUAUACUCUCUCAUUUGACUCAAUGGAGAAAGGAGGGAGAUAACUUUUAAAUGUAAAGAAACAGAAGCUAAAUUCAAACUAUACUACAAGGUUACAGUAAUCAAAACAACAUGUUACUGGUACCAAAACAGAGAUAUAGACCAAUGGAACAGAACAGAGGCCUCAGAAGCAACACCACACAUCUACAACCAUGUGAUCUUUGACAAACCAGACAAAAGCAAUCAAUGGGGAAAGGAUUCUCUGUUUAAUAAAUGGUGUUGGGAAAACUGGCUAGUCAUAUAGAGAAAGCUGAAACUAGACCCCUUCCUUAUAUCUUAUACAAAGCUAACUCCUAAUGGAUUAAAGAUUUAAACACAAGAACUAACACCAUAAAAACCCUAGAAGGAAGCCUAGGCAGCGCCAUUCAGGACAUAGGCAUAGGCAUGAACUUCAUGACUAAAACACCAAAAACAAUGGCAACAAAAGUUGACAAAUGGCAUCUAAUUAAACUUAAGAGCCUCUGCACAGCAAAAGAAACAAUCAUUAGAGUGAACUGGCAACUAACAGAUUGGGAAAAAAUUUUUGCAAUCUACCCAUCUGGCAAAGGGCUGAUAUCCACAAUCUACAAAGAACUAAAGCAGAUUUACAAGAAAACAAACAAACAAACAUAUUCAAGAGUGGGUAAAGGAUAUGAACAGACACUUUUCAAAAGAAGAAUAUGUGGCCAACAAACAUAUGAAAAAAUGUUCAUCAUCACUGGUCAUUAGAGAAAUGCAAAUCAAAAUCACAUUGAGAUACCAUCUAAUACCAGUUAGAAUGGUGAUCAUUAAAAAAUCUGGAGACAA